Molecule: unclassified non-coding RNA, 328 nt
Filed under: soil metagenome
Description: partial contains 5.8S ribosomal RNA, internal transcribed spacer 2, and large subunit ribosomal RNA
Rfam family: 5.8S ribosomal RNA (bases 1-120)
Source: RNAcentral
GAUGAAGAACGCAGCAAAAUGCGAUAAGUAAUGUGAAUUGCAGAAUUCAGUGAAUCAUCGAAUCUUUGAACGCACAUUGCGCCCCUUGGUAUUCCGAGGGGCAUGCCUGUUCGAGCGUCAUUAUAACCCCUCAAGCUCAGCUUGGUGUUGGGGCCUGCCGCACGGGCAGCCCUUAAAAUCAGUGGCGGUGCCAUCUGGCUCUAAGCGUAGUAAUUCUUCUCGCUAUAGAGUCCCGGUGGAUGCUUGCCAUUAACCCCCAAUUUUCUAUGGUUGACCUCGGAUCAGGUAGGGAUACCCGCUGAACUUAAGCAUAUCAAUAAGCGGAGGA